AUUGAACGCUGGCGGCAGGCCUAACACAUGCAAGUCGAGCGGAUGAAGGGAGCUUGCUCCUGGAUUCAGCGGCGGACGGGUGAGUAAUGCCUAGGAACCUGUCUGGUAGUGGGGGAUAACGCCCGGAAACGGGCGCUAAUACCGCAUACGUCCUGAGGGAGAAAGUGGGGGAUCUUCGGACCUCACGCUAUCAGAUGAGCCUAGGUCGGAUUAGCUAGUUGGUGGGGUAAAGGCCUACCAAGGCGACGAUCCGUAACUGGUCUGAGAGGAUGAUCAGUCACACUGGAACUGAGACACGGUCCAGACUCCUACGGGAGGCAGCAGUGGGGAAUAUUGGACAAUGGGCGAAAGCCUGAUCCAGCCAUGCCGCGUGUGUGAAGAAGGUCUUCGGAUUGUAAAGCACUUUAAGUUGGGAGGAAGGGCAGUAAGUUAAUACCUUGCUGUUUUGACGUUACCGGCAGAAUAAGCACCGGCUAACUUCGUG
Molecule: ribosomal RNA, 484 nt
Filed under: uncultured bacterium
Lineage: Bacteria
Description: partial 16S ribosomal RNA
Rfam family: Bacterial small subunit ribosomal RNA
Source: RNAcentral